RNAcentral lists this ribosomal RNA (254 nucleotides) under uncultured bacterium. RNAcentral describes it as "partial 16S ribosomal RNA". It matches the Rfam family "Bacterial small subunit ribosomal RNA", at positions 524 to 776 of the family's 1533-position model. The record is from RNAcentral.
UACGGAGGGUGCAAGCGUUAUCCGGAAUUACUGGGCGUAAAGGGCUCGUAGGUGGCCAACUAAGUCAGACGUGAAAUCCCUCGGCUUAACCGGGGAACUGCGUCUGAUACUGGAUGGCUUGAGUGUGGGAGAGGGAUGCGGAAUUCCAGGUGUAGCGGUGAAAUGCGUAGAUAUCUGGAGGAACACCGGUGGCGAAGGCGGCAUCCUGGACCACGACUGACGCUGAGUGAGCGAAAGCCAGGGGAGCAAACGGG